This 461-nucleotide ribosomal RNA is filed under the name uncultured bacterium. RNAcentral's name for it is "partial 16S ribosomal RNA". It matches the Rfam family "Bacterial small subunit ribosomal RNA", at positions 30 to 523 of the family's 1533-position model. The record is from RNAcentral.
AUUGAACGCUGGCGGCAUGCUUUACACAUGCAAGUCGAACGGCAGCACGGACUUCGGUCUGGUGGCGAGCGGCGGACGGCUGAGUAACGCGUAGGAACAUGCCCCAAAGUGAGGAAUAACUGCCCGAAAGGGUGGCUAAUGCCGCAUGUGGUCUUCGGACUAAAGCUUUAUGCGCUUUGGGAGUGGCCUGCGUCCGAUUAGCUUGUUGGUGAGGUAAUGGCUCACCAAGGCGACGAUCGGUAGCUGGUCUGAGAGGAUGAUCAGCCAGACUGGAACUGAGAACGGUCCAGACUCCUACGGGAGGCAGCAGUAGGGAAUUUUCCACAAUGGGCGAGAGCCUGAUGGAGCAACGCCGCGUGCAGGAUGAAUGCCUUCGGGUUGUAAACUGCUUUUAUGUGCGAAGAAUUUGACUGUAACACAUGAAUAAGGAUCGGCUAACUACGUGCCAGCAGCCGCGGUAA